RNAcentral lists this ribosomal RNA (257 nucleotides) under uncultured bacterium. Its description in RNAcentral is "partial 16S ribosomal RNA". It matches the Rfam family "Bacterial small subunit ribosomal RNA", at positions 524 to 778 of the family's 1533-position model. The record is from RNAcentral.
UACGGAGGAUGCAAGCGUUAUCCGGAUUUAUUGGGCGUAAAGCGUCCGCAGGUGGUUAUGCAAGUCUGCUGUCAAAGCGCGAGGCUUAACUUCGUAAAGGCAGUGGAAACUGUGUGACUAGAGGAUGGUAGGGGUAGCGGGAAUUCCCAGUGUAGCGGUGAAAUGCGUAGAUAUUGGGAAGAACACCAGCGGCGAAAGCGCGCUACUGGGCCAUUACUGACACUCAUGGACGAAAAGCUAGGGGGAGCGAAAAGGGG